CUCAUUUUUCUUCCACUAUUUUGCUCUUAUGGGUUUCUCAUUCUUCAACGCUUCAGGUUUCUCAGUCCGUUCAUAUCUUCCGCUACCUUUUACUUCCCCCUUAACCUAGCAGCGCCGCUGCUCACAUGAGAGAGAUUUGAACUCUACGAUCUGGGGUGGUGCCCAUUUUCUCCUUUCAACCCAUUUUCUUCUAUGCCUUCCUUUCGAAGUUCUCGAAUUUUCAUCAAGACUUCAUUCACGUUUUUCUUUAUUAGAACAUAAAGAUAAAGGGAUUGACGAUAAGGGCUUUCAUUACUGUCCAUCCAAUUUCUAUUCAUUGUAUACUUCCUCCCUGUGCCUCUUUCUUUUAUUGUUUCUAAUCUUCUUUGGUAUGAAACUGUUUCAGGUCCAUUUUGUUCGUGCUUUGAGUAGAAGGGGAUGCUGCCUUCAAAUAUCAAAGAAACAUCCAAAGAAUCAAGGCGCAGAGAUGUGAGCAUUUCCUAUUUACAUGUGUGUGUUCCCCCUUUGCUAUUGCAGAAUUCUGGGCGUAUGGGAUCCAGGUAAGCACUACUCCUAACAGAAUUAUUAAUUUCAUGUAAAUGUUCCAUAUAAAUUUGAUAAAUGAUAACAAGGUGUUAUUUACAUAUGCAUACCCCUGUGUCAUGUGGUUAGCAAUCAGGCCAACACUCUUGGAAUGAUUUUGUGUUUUUACAGUUGAGUUUUUUAUUUGAGUUUUUAGUUUUUUUCUUUUUUUUUAUAAUUUUGGACAUGAGAAGGUUAGGGUCUGUGGCUAAGUUGUGUUACAUUGCAUCUUGAUGUUCAUUCGAGAGAACUGGUGAAGGGGCAGGGGCUUAGUGAGCGUGGGGAAAUUAUUCUCUUCUAUAAGGCUGAACCUAAAACAGAUGAAGUAUAUGAUCAGACAACUUUGCUUCCUGAAGCAGAUGUGAGUGUGCUCUGACUUCUGCCAUUGGAUUGAUUGGCACAUCGAUUGAGGAACUACACCCGAGAGCUAAGAAUCAGAGUAAAAGAAUAUUGUUUCUGCAACCACAACUUUUCUUUUUGCAGAUAUUAUGUCUGCAAUUGAUCUCAUCCCUUUGUUGCUUCAAUAUUCUAUAAAUGCUUCUCCUGGAUGUUCCCGGUUGCAUUGUUUUGGAUUCUCUUUGAUUCUACAUGCUUGGAUGAUCAAGUAGCCAAUUAAGUGUGAUUCAAGUGUAUCAUCUUAUCCGAACUAAAGGCAGAUGUUCUCAGGAACGAAAAAAGUAGGAGUAACGAAGAAGAUAAAUGAGAAUGUAUAUGAGAAUUCUUACUGAAUGUACAAGUUGUUGCAUUGUUGUCUCCCACCAAGGUAUGAAUCAUCCGUCUUUUUACUUUUUUCACCUUUGUUAUUUCUUUCCUCUUUCACUCCCAUUCCAUGUUAUGUUUUUUUUUGCCUUCUUUGAAGUUUUAUUUUUCAGCCUAUGCAUUCCCAAGACUAUUCACAAGUACAAUGCUUAUAAGGAUGUUGGUCUUUCUACUUACUGAUUAUAUGAAUUAGAAUUAUGUGAGCAGAGAGAGAAGGCUGGGACAGAAAAAUGCUAAAAUGAGUUAUUUUAGAUUGCAAGAACGUCAAUCUUUCCAGAACAAGAAAGUAAAGUUCUCAGCCAGCAGAGGCAGCAUCAAAGUGAAGGACAAGAAAGUAGUGGACAGAAAGAUUCAUAUGCUAAUCAACCUCUGAUCAAUUGUAUCAAGUGAAAUGCAUUUAGAAACUGUACAGGUUAUUGUUGUUGAUUCUCAAGAGGAUGAUAGUACGGAUAAUUGAAGCGCAUAAGCUUUGUUGAGUUCAACACUACAGGUUUUGGUUAAAAUCUGAUGGCUAGAAUGGUAUAUGUGGAGGGAGAAGGGUUAUGGAAAAAUUGUCAAGGCAUGGCACUGCCCAUUAAGGUUAUCCAAAGGCCUAAGUCACUUGAUUUAGGAGUGCAAUUCUCUAGCAGCCCUGAUGAGCCAGCCACUGAGGGAGCUGUGAUCAAGUCUUCAAGAAUUGGUGCUUUGGAAAACAUACCAAAGAAUUUGGAUCGAAGAUGAUGGCUAAGACAGUAGGUAGAGAAUCAUAAUGUAAUUACACCAUUGAGUGUUGUUAGGCUACCGAAGUCAUGACUCAUGAGGACUAGGCUCCAAAAGUUAAUUUAGAUUUCUUUAUUUUUUGCUCCUUUCUAAUUGUAUAUUGGCCUAAGAUUAUGAUUCACCUUUGUAGUUUAGCUUUAGCACGCAUUUUCUAACAAUGGAAUUCACUAUGUUAAAAUGUUA
This is a long non-coding RNA of Lotus japonicus, 2262 nucleotides long. RefSeq lists it as uncharacterized. The transcript is spliced from 5 exons. Lineage: Eukaryota; Viridiplantae; Streptophyta; Magnoliopsida; Fabales; Fabaceae. The record is from RefSeq and is a predicted model, not a curated record.